AACACUGUUAACCUGCGGUACCUGCGGAAGGAUCAUUACCGAGUGAGGGCCCUCCGGGUCCAACCUCCCACCCGUGUUUAACGAACCUUGUUGCUUCGGCGGGCCCGCCUCACGGCCGCCGGGGGGCACCCCGCCCCCGGGCCCGCGCCCGCCGAAGACACCUGUGAACGCUGUCUGAAGUUGCAGUCUGAGACACUAGCUCAAUCAGUUAAAACUUUCAACAAUGGAUCUCAGAUCGGA
RNAcentral lists this unclassified non-coding RNA (240 nucleotides) under soil metagenome. RNAcentral describes it as "partial contains 5.8S ribosomal RNA, internal transcribed spacer 2, and large subunit ribosomal RNA". The record is from RNAcentral.